GCUUGCUUCUCUUGAGAGCGGCGGACGGGUGAGUAAUGCCUAGGAAUCUGCCUGGUAGUGGGGGAUAACGUUCGGAAACGGACGCUAAUACCGCAUACGUCCUACGGGAGAAAGCAGGGGACCUUCGGGCCUUGCGCUAUCAGAUGAGCCUAGGUCGGAUUAGCUAGUUGGUGAGGUAAUGGCUCACCAAGGCGACGAUCCGUAACUGGUCUGAGAGGAUGAUCAGUCACACUGGAACUGAGACACGGUCCAGACUCCUACGGGAGGCAGCAGUGGGGAAUAUUGGACAAUGGGCGAAAGCCUGAUCCAGCCAUGCCGCGUGUGUGAAGAAGGUCUUCGGAUUGUAAAGCACUUUAAGUUGGGAGGAAGGGCAGUUACCUAAUACGUGAUUGUUUUGACGUUACCGACAGAAUAAGCACCGGCUAACUCUGUGCCAGCAGCCGCGGUAAUACAGAGGGUGCAAGCGUUAAUCGGAAUUACUGGGCGUAAAGCGCGCGUAGGUGGUUAGUUAAGUUGGAUGUGAAAUCCCCGGGCUCAACCUGGGAACUGCAUUCAAAACUGACUGACUAGAGUAUGGUAGAGGGUGGUGGAAUUUCCUGUGUAGCGGUGAAAUGCGUAGAUAUAGGAAGGAACACCAGUGGCGAAGGCGACCACCUGGACUGAUACUGACACUGAGGUGCGAAAGCGUGGGGAGCAAACAGGAUUAGAUACUCUGGUAGUCCACGCCGUAAACGAUGUCAACUAGCCGUUGGGAGCCUUGAGCUCUUAGUGGCGCAGCUAACGCAUUAAGUUGACCGCCUGGGGAGUACUGCCGCAAGGUUAAAACUCAAAUGAAUUGACGGGGGCCCGCUCAAGUCGGUGGAGCAUGUGGUUUAAUUCAAAGCAACGCAAAAAACCUUACCAGGCCUUGACAUCCAAUGAACUUUCUAGAGAUAGAAUGGUGCCCUCCGCAACAUUGU
RNAcentral lists this ribosomal RNA (959 nucleotides) under Pseudomonas sp. Its description in RNAcentral is "bacterial SSU rRNA". It matches the Rfam family "Bacterial small subunit ribosomal RNA", at positions 78 to 1032 of the family's 1533-position model. Lineage: Bacteria; Pseudomonadati; Pseudomonadota; Gammaproteobacteria; Pseudomonadales; Pseudomonadaceae. The record is from RNAcentral.